UACGUAGGGUGCGAGCGUUGUCCGGAAUUAUUGGGCGUAAAGAGCUUGUAGGCGGUUUGUCGCGUCUGCCGUGAAAAUCCGGGGCUCAACCCCGGACUUGCGGUGGGUACGGGCAGACUAGAGUGUGGUAGGGGAGACUGGAAUUCCUGGUGUAGCGGUGAAAUGCGCAGAUAUCAGGAGGAACACCGGUGGCGAAGGCGGGUCUCUGGGCAGUAACUGACGCUGAGGAGCGAGAGCGUGGGGAGCGAACAGG
RNAcentral lists this ribosomal RNA (253 nucleotides) under uncultured bacterium. Its description in RNAcentral is "partial 16S ribosomal RNA". It matches the Rfam family "Bacterial small subunit ribosomal RNA", at positions 524 to 776 of the family's 1533-position model. The record is from RNAcentral.